UGUGCCUCGUGCAAACAGCAUUGUACUUGCAACGCUUCGGGUUUUGACGGAAAAAUAGUGCGAGGUUCCAAGCUUCGAGCUUCGUUUAAUUCUGUAGUUCCCUCAAAAGCCGCUUCCUCUCCGUCGAUUUGUCGUUCCGAUUCCCAAACCACUUACAAUAUUCUUCCAGAAAUCUGAUAUCGACCUCGCCAUGGAAUGCGCCAAUGCCAAUGGCCCGAAGAAGCCCUACACCGUGCUCUACAGAACCAAGCACUGGAGCAUUACUGAUUAUUAUUCAUGGGGGAUCCCUCUGGCUUUUCUCUAGAUGAAUCGAUUCUCCAUGCUUCUGAUUCACAAACCUGGCGAAGAGAUGGCUGUUCUCCAAGAUCGUGGAAACCUAAGACAAAGUGGAGGAUGGAAGCGUUAUCUUUAAGAAAUCACAGAGUUUCAGGUUUUGUGAAGAGGGUAUCAUGAUCGAAGGAGAAACUGAUCAUGCCUAAGAAUAUUUGAGGAUUGUGUUCAGUGAUUGGGCAAUACAUCACCUCCAACGGUGGUGUUGUAACUGCUGAAGAACUUGCACCAUAUCUGAAUUUGUCAGGAACAUGGAUGAUGAGUCGUACAUUUUACCAGUUCUUUUACGUUUUAAUGGCCAACCUGAAAUUGAUGAAGAGGUAUGUUUAACGAGGUAUGAAAUGCUUGAAUGGAUACAAUUAGCUCAAUCUACCCAUAUUUGAUGCCAAUAAUAUGUGAACACAAGUCUAUUGCUAGGUUGAGGCUUGAAGUGUUAUGCUAGUUAUUUCGUCCAUUGAGGCUUGAACACAAGCCUGAAAUUGGUGUUAGUUAUUUUGUCUAAUGGAUACAAUUAUGCUAGUUAUUUCGUCUAUCCCAGAAAGCACAAUCUACCCAUAGUUGAGGCUUGAACACAAGUCUGAAAUUGAUGAAGUGUUAUUUCGUCUUUAGGGAUGAGUGAAGAGGAAGUUUCUUAUUACCAGAAGAUUUUGGCUAUUCAUGUGUCGGGUUUUGACGUUCCCAAGCCAAUUAAAACCUUUGAAGACUGGAUUUUCCCCUCAACUUAUGAAUGCUAUAAAAAAGCAAGGGUAUGAGAAGCCUACUUCUAUACAGUGCCAAGCUAUGCCAAUUGUGCUUUAUGGGAGAGAUAUCAUUAGAAUAGCAAAAACUGGUUCGAGUGCUCAAAGCGACGAGUUCAAGGUGAACUAUGUUAUUCUUGUGGAGGUAGGAGCAUAAUGAGCGAGAUUUGGCGAGGAUUACUUCUUACAGGAUUGAUAGGUGUAAUUUUUUUUAAAUUGUUCAUAGAGGGGAUGAGGGUUGAUUGUACAAUAGGAAUGUAUUCAUGUGGGGGUUGAUAAUUAUACUUUUGAAAUUGUCAUAUGGGGUUGAUUAUAAUGUUGGAAUUAUUCAUAUGGGGUUUACCGUAUUCUUUUUAACUUAGAAAUACUUUAUGAGGUUGUAAUAUUGAGAAUGUUAAAGAAGUGAAGUUUUUAUAAAGA
This is a non-coding RNA of Benincasa hispida (wax gourd), 1487 nucleotides long. The record is from RefSeq and is a predicted model, not a curated record. Lineage: Eukaryota; Viridiplantae; Streptophyta; Magnoliopsida; Cucurbitales; Cucurbitaceae.